GACGAACGCUGGCGGCGUGCUUAACACAUGCAAGUCGAACGGAAAGGCCCUGCUUUUGUGGGGUGCUCGAGUGGCGAACGGGUGAGUAACACGUGAGUAACCUGCCCUUGACUUUGGGAUAACUUCAGGAAACUGGGGCUAAUACCGGAUAGGAGCUCCCGCUGCAUGGUGGGGGUUGGAAAGUUUCGGCGGUUGGGGAUGGACUCGCGGCUUAUCAGCUUGUUGGUGGGGUAGUGGCUUACCCAGGCUGUGACGGGUAGCCGGCAUGGGAGGGUGACCGGCCACAUUGGGACUGCGAUACGGCCCAGACUCCUACGGGAGGCAGCAGUGGGGAAUAUUGCACAAUGGGCGGAAGCCUGAUGCAGCAACGCCGCGUGCGGGAUGACGGCCUUCGGGUUGUAAACCGCUUUCGCCUGUGACGAAGCGUGAGUGACGGUAAUGGGUAAAGAAGCACCGGCUAACUACGUG
Molecule: ribosomal RNA, 468 nt
Filed under: uncultured bacterium
Lineage: Bacteria
Description: partial 16S ribosomal RNA
Rfam family: Bacterial small subunit ribosomal RNA
Source: RNAcentral